UCCUUGGUGGUUCAGAUGGUAAAGAAUCUGCCUGCAAUGCAGAAGACCCUGGUUCUAUCCCAGGUUUGGGAA
This 72-nucleotide transfer RNA is filed under the name Bos taurus (domestic cattle). It matches the Rfam family "tRNA". From Rfam's summary of the family: Transfer RNA (tRNA) molecules are approximately 80 nucleotides in length. Their secondary structure includes four short double-helical elements and three loops (D, anti-codon, and T loops). Lineage: Eukaryota; Metazoa; Chordata; Mammalia; Artiodactyla; Bovidae. The record is from Rfam by way of RNAcentral. RNAcentral also lists the same sequence under 5 other names.